UCGUGUCGUGAGAUGUUGGGUUAAGUCCCGCAACGAGCGCAACCCCCACCUCUUGUUGCCAACAGGUCAUGCUGGGCACUCUAGAGGAACUGCCCCGGUCAACGGGGAGGAAGGCGGGGAUGACGUCAAGUCAUCAUGCCCCUUACGUCCUGGGCUACACACGUGCUACAAUGGCCGGUACAAAGGGAUGCCACACCGCGAGGUAGAGCUAAACCCAAAAAGCCGGUCUAAGUUCAGAUUGGAGUCUGCAACUCGACUCUAUGAAGGAGGAAUCGCUAGUAAUCGC
Molecule: ribosomal RNA, 286 nt
Filed under: uncultured Methylomirabilota bacterium
Lineage: Bacteria; Methylomirabilota (SeqCode)
Description: uncultured candidate division NC10 bacterium partial 16S ribosomal RNA
Rfam family: Bacterial small subunit ribosomal RNA
Source: RNAcentral